UCCCUAGUACGGCGAGUGAAGCGGGAAGAGCUCAAAUUUGAAAUCUGGUGGCCUCAGGUCAUCCGAGUUGUAAUCUAUAGAAGUGUUUUCCGUGCUGGCUCAUGUACAAGUCCCUUGGAACAGGGCGUCAUAGAGGGUGAGAAUCCCGUCCUUGACAUGAACUACCAGUGCUCUGUGAUACAUUUUCAACGAGUCGAGUUGUUUGGGAAUGCAGCUCAAAAUGGGUGGUAAAUUCCAUCUAAAGCUAAAUAUUGGCGAGAGACCGAUAGCGAACAAGUACCGUGAGGGAAAGAUGAAAAGCACUUUGGAAAGAGAGUUAAACAGUAUGUGAAAUUGUUGAAAGGGAAACGAUUGAAGUCAGUCGUGCUCUUUGGAUUCAGCCGGUUCUGCCGGUGUACUUCCUUUGAGUGGGGUCAACAUCAGUUUUGAUCGCUGGAUAAAGGCUGGAGGAACGUAGUACCCUCGGGUAAACUUAUAGCCUCCUGUCACAUACAGUGGUUGGGACUGAGGAACGCAGCACGCCUUUAUGGCCGGGAUUCGUCCACGUACGUGCUUAGGAUGUUGACAUAAUGGCUUUAAACGACCCGUCUUGAAACACGGACCA
RNAcentral lists this ribosomal RNA (604 nucleotides) under Filobasidium magnum. Its description in RNAcentral is "eukaryotic LSU rRNA". It matches the Rfam family "Eukaryotic large subunit ribosomal RNA", at positions 77 to 668 of the family's 3401-position model. Lineage: Eukaryota; Fungi; Basidiomycota; Tremellomycetes; Filobasidiales; Filobasidiaceae. The record is from RNAcentral.